This 780-nucleotide ribosomal RNA is filed under the name uncultured bacterium. RNAcentral describes it as "bacterial SSU rRNA". It matches the Rfam family "Bacterial small subunit ribosomal RNA", at positions 8 to 796 of the family's 1533-position model. The record is from RNAcentral.
AGAGUUUGAUCAUGGCUCAGGACGAACGCUGGCGGCGUGCUUAAUACAUGCAAGUCGAACGAGGUUCAUCCGGUGGCAACACCGGAGAAGACCUAGUGGCGAACGGGUGAGUAGCACGUGAGCAACCUGCCCCGAAGACUGGGAUAACACCGGGAAACCGGUGCUAAUACCGGAUACCCCCACCGGAUCGCAUGAUCCGGUGAGGAAAUGGAUUCCGCUUCGGGAGGGGCUCGCGGCCUAUCAGCUUGUUGGUGAGGUAACGGCUCACCAAGGCUUCGACGGGUAGCUGGUCUGAGAGGACGAUCAGCCACACUGGGACUGAGACACGGCCCAGACUCCUACGGGAGGCAGCAGUAGGGAAUCUUGCGCAAUGGGCGAAAGCCUGACGCAGCAACGCCGCGUGAGGGACGAAUGCUUUCUGAGUUGUAAACCUCUUUCAGCAGGGACGAUAGUGACGGUACCUGCAGAAGAAGCACCGGCCAACUACGUGCCAGCAGCCGCGGUGAUACGUAGGGUGCAAGCGUUGUCCGGAUUUAUUGGGCGUAAAGAGCUCGUAGGCGGUUCGAUAAGUCGGGUGUGAAACCCCCAGGCUCAACCUGGGGCCGCCACUCGAUACUGUCGUGACUAGAGUCCGGUAGGGGACCAUGGAAUUCCUGGUGUAGCGGUGAAAUGCGCAGAUAUCAGGAGGAACACCAGCAGCGAAGGCGGUGGUCUGGGCCGGCACUGACGCUGAGGAGCGAAAGCGUGGGGAGCGAACAGGAUUAGAUACCCCAGUAGUCC